CCUACGGGAGGCAGCAGUGAGGAAUAUUGGUCAAUGGGCGGAAGCCUGAACCAGCCAAGUAGCGUGCAGGAUGACGGCCCUACGGGUUGUAAACUGCUUUGAUACGGGAAUAACGCGCCUUACGUGUAGGGCUUUGCAUGUACCGUAUGAAUAAGGACCGGCUAAUUCGGUGCCAGCAGCCGCGGUAAUACGGAGGGUCCGGGCGUUAUCCGGAUUUAUUGGGUUUAAAGGGGGCGUAGGCCGCAUGUCAAGCGUGCUGUGAAAUGCUCGGGCUCAACCCGGGCCUUGCAGCGCGAACUGGCGGGCUUGAGUCCGCGGAGGGCAGGCGGAAUUCGUGGUGUAGCGGUGAAAUGCUUAGAUAUGACGAAGAACACCGAUGGCGAAGGCAGCUUGCUGGAGCGGAACUGACGCUGAUGCUCGAAAGCGCGGGUAUCGAACAGGAUUAGAUACCCUAGUAGUC
This 460-nucleotide ribosomal RNA is filed under the name uncultured bacterium. RNAcentral's name for it is "partial 16S ribosomal RNA". It matches the Rfam family "Bacterial small subunit ribosomal RNA", at positions 338 to 795 of the family's 1533-position model. The record is from RNAcentral.